CGGCGGACGGGUGAGUAAUGCCUAGGAAUCUGCCUGGUAGUGGGGGAUAACGUUCCGAAAGGAACGCUAAUACCGCGUACGUCCUACGGGAGAAAGCAGGGGACCUUCGGGCCUUGCGCUAUCAGAUGAGCCUAGGUCGGAUUAGCUAGUUGGUGAGGUAAUGGCUCACCAAGGCGACGAUCCGUAACUGGUCUGAGAGGAUGAUCAGUCACACUGGAACUGAGACACGGUCCAGACUCCUACGGGAGGCAGCAGUGGGGAAUAUUGGACAAUGGGCGAAAGCCUGAUCCAGCCAUGCCGCGUGUGUGAAAGAAGGUCUUCGGAUUGUAAAGCACUUUAAGUUGGGAGGAAGGGUUGUACGUUAAUACCGUGCAAUUUUUGACGUUACCGACAGAAUAAGCACCGGCUAACUUCGUGCCAGCAGCCGCGGUAAUACGAAGGGUGCAAGCGUUAAUCGGAAUUACUGGGCGUAAAGCGCGCGUAGGUGGUUCAGUAAGUUGGAAGUGAAAUCCCCGGGCUCAACCUGGGAACUGCUUUCAAAACUGCUGAGCUAGAGUACGGUAGAGGGUAGUGGAAUUUCCUGUGUAGCGGUGAAAUGCGUAGAUAUAGGAAGGAACACCAGUGGCGAAGGCGACUACCUGGACUGAUACUGACACUGAGGUGCGAAAGCGUGGGGAGCAAACAGGAUUAGAUACCCUGGUAGUCCACGCCGUAAACGAUGUCAACUAGCCGUUGGGAUCCUUGAGAUCUUAGUGCGCCA
Molecule: ribosomal RNA, 760 nt
Filed under: Pseudomonas sp. BR_48
Lineage: Bacteria; Pseudomonadati; Pseudomonadota; Gammaproteobacteria; Pseudomonadales; Pseudomonadaceae
Description: bacterial SSU rRNA
Rfam family: Bacterial small subunit ribosomal RNA
Source: RNAcentral